UACGAGGGGUGCAAGCGUUGCUCGGAAUUAUUGGGCGUAAAGGGCAGGUAGGUGGUCUUAUUUGUCUGGGGUGAAAGCCUUGAGCUUAACUCAAGAAGUGCCCCAGAAACGGUAAGACUAGAGUCUUGGAGAGGGUCGUGGAAUUCCCGGUGUAGCGGUGAAAUGCGUAGAGAUCGGGAGGAACACCAGAGGCGAAGGCGGCGACCUGGACAAGUACUGACACCCAACUGCGAAAGCGUGGGGAGCAAACAGG
Molecule: ribosomal RNA, 253 nt
Filed under: uncultured bacterium
Lineage: Bacteria
Description: partial 16S ribosomal RNA
Rfam family: Bacterial small subunit ribosomal RNA
Source: RNAcentral